GAUGAACGCUAGCGGCAGGCUUAACACAUGCAAGUCGAGGGGUAGGUUACUUCGGUAAUUGAGACCGGCGCACGGGUGCGUAACGCGUAUACAAUCUACCUUUUACAGAGGGAUAGCCCAGAGAAAUUUGGAUUAAUACCUCAUAGUAUUUUUGAAUCGCAUGAUUUGAUUAUUAAAGUUCCAACGGUAAAAGAUGAGUAUGCGUCCCAUUAGCUAGAUGGUAAGGUAACGGCUUACCAUGGCUACGAUGGGUAGGGGUCCGUGAGAGGGAGAUCCCCCACACUGGUACUGAGACACGGACCAGACUCCUACGGGAGGCAGCAGUGAGGAAUAUUGGACAACUAGGGCGGCAAGCCUGAUACCACGCCAUGCGCGU
RNAcentral lists this ribosomal RNA (376 nucleotides) under uncultured bacterium. Its description in RNAcentral is "bacterial SSU rRNA". It matches the Rfam family "Bacterial small subunit ribosomal RNA", at positions 28 to 402 of the family's 1533-position model. The record is from RNAcentral.